RNAcentral lists this ribosomal RNA (253 nucleotides) under uncultured bacterium. RNAcentral's name for it is "partial 16S ribosomal RNA". It matches the Rfam family "Bacterial small subunit ribosomal RNA", at positions 524 to 776 of the family's 1533-position model. The record is from RNAcentral.
UACAGGGGGUGCAAACGUUGCUCGGAAUCAUUGGGCGUAAAGCGCACGUAGGCGGUUCGUUAUGUCGGAUGUGAAAGCCCUUGGCUUAACCGAGGAAGUGCAUCCGAAACUGGCGAGCUAGAGUACUAAAGAGGAUCGCGGAAUUCCCAGUGUAGAGGUGAAAUUCGUAGAUAUUGGGAAGAACACCGGUGGCGAAGGCGGCUCUCUGGACCGAUACUGACGCUGAGGCGCGAAAGCGUGGGGAGCAAACAGG